UGGGGAAUAUUGCACAAUGGGCGCAAGCCUGAUGCAGCGACGCCGCGUGAGGGAUGACGGCCUUCGGGUUGUAAACCUCUUUCAGUAGGGAAGAAGCCGUAAGGUGACGGUACCUGCAGAAGAAGCGCCGGCUAACUACGUGCCAGCAGCCGCGGUAAUACGUAGGGCGCAAGCGUUAUCCGGAAUUAUUGGGCGUAAAGAGCUCGUAGGCGGUUUGUCGCGUCUGCCGUGAAAGUCCGGGGCUCAACUCCGGAUCUGCGGUGGGUACGGGCAGGCUAGAGUGAUGUAGGGGAGACUGGAAUUCCUGGUGUAGCGGUGAAAUGCGCAGAUAUCAGGAGGAACACCGAUGGCGAAGGCAGGUCUCUGGGCAUUAACUGACGCUGAGGAGCGAAAGCAUGGGGAGCGAACAGGAUUAGAUACCCUGGUAGUCCAUGCCGUAAACGUUGGGCACUAGGUGUGGGGGACAUUCCACGUUUUCCGCGCCGUAGCUAACGCAUUAAGUGCCCCGCCUGGGGAGUACGGCCGCAAGGCUAA
Molecule: ribosomal RNA, 534 nt
Filed under: uncultured Arthrobacter sp.
Lineage: Bacteria; Bacillati; Actinomycetota; Actinomycetes; Micrococcales; Micrococcaceae
Description: bacterial SSU rRNA
Rfam family: Bacterial small subunit ribosomal RNA
Source: RNAcentral